UUUUUUUUUUUUUUUUUUGGUUUUCAACCUGUUUAAUAUGUAAAACAGAAAUAACAGUAGGCAGAGGUUUGGUUUUAAUACAUUCUCAGAAGUGCUGGCCAUCCAGAGCAUUAUUCUGAACAGCUGAAUUAUCUAACUUUUGACUCAAAGAAUUUACAUUUCGAAAAUACCUAAUUUCAUGGGAUUAUGGAGACUAAUCUAACAUAAGAAUUAAAUAUAGAAAUUUAAAGGUUCCAAGCUAACAGGAGGGUAAGGACUAAUGUGACAGCAAUCAUAAAGCUUUUUCCCUUGUAACAGAAGUGUUAAUACUUUAACAUAAAUUAUCCAUUCAUCAUGGUGUUUAAAAACAGUCAAGCCUAAGUAAAUUCUUCGUACCAUCAAAAAGAUACACACACUGAAAAUCUGCUUAAACUUCAAAUUUUUUUCAUUUGACAGUUCUCGGCCAGGGCCACACACAUUUACAGGGAGCUUUUGCUUCUCAAGCUUAAUGCAAGUCUGGCCAUUGUUUUAUGUAAAAAUGAAACUAAAUUUAAAAUCUCACCAAACUAGGAAUCUGCUGUAGAAAAUCAGUGAAGACACCAGAGUAGCUCAAGCCAGUGGUUCUCAAACUACCUGGAAGGCUUGUCAAACAGCUGCACGCUUGCCCCAGCGCUGGAGCUUUGAACUCAGGAGGAUCGAGCAGGACCUGAGUGCCUGCAUUUGUAGCAGGUUCCCUGGGGACACAGAUGCUGCUAAACCCCAGGUGAGAACCACUGGCUAAAACACCUGUAAAAACUUAGCACCAUCUCCAUCUCUGCUCAGCAGUGGACGGUACCAGCUCUGUCAGUUGCCCUGCAGGGACAGUGGAGGUGGCCCCCAGGAGUAACACCGUUUGCUAUUUCCUAUGGUCAGAGGAGUCCUGGGCUCUCUGGGUCCCAGGGAGCAACUUCUCUGCCAGCAUGCAAUGUAGUUUACCACUAAAGCCAUAUACAGCACAUUUGAAAUGGUUAUUGAAUGGUGGAAAACUUACCCUAAGGGGCAGAAGGAAGUCAAAAGAAAGGAAAAGGCACGGUAAUUAAGUCGUCCUUGGAAAUGAUGAGGUUUCUUUUUCUUUCAAAUAACUUCACUUUAAUGUAACCUCAAGCCCAAACCUUCUGGGAGGUGAGCAGUCUUGGUGGCUCUGGGCGAGGGAGGAGGCAGGCUGAGCUCUGGGAGGGAUGGGUGGAGUGCUGGGUCUAAAAGCAGGGUUUUGGCCUUGAGCAGUCUGAAGACAAAAAGACUCCUCCAGUUCUAGAAGGAAGGUACCAUACUGAUCAUUUUGAAUUAAAGUUUCUUAAGAAAUGGCCAAGACAAGAAGGACACUCUGACCCUCCUAAGAUAGGAAAUUCAGGCUAAGGUGCUUGUAUAAAUGAAAGCUGUUACUUUUUUUUUAAUUGUUAUUUCCCCAAUACAAUUUUUUUUUUUCCUGCUGUACAGCAUGGUGACAGUUACACAUAUAUGUACACAUUCUUUUUUCUCCAAUUAUCAUGCUCCAUCAUAAGUGACUGGACAGAGUUCUCAGUGCUAUGCAGCAGGAUCUCAUUGCUAAUCCAUUCCAAAAGCAACAGUUUGCAUCUAUUAACCCCAAGCUUCCAAUCCAUCCUACUCCCUCCCCCUCCCCUUUGGCAACCACAGGUCUAUUCUCCAAGUCCAUGAGUUUCUUUUCUGUGGAAAGUUUCAUUUGUGCCAUAUGUUAGACAGGUGACUAGAUCAAGAAGAUGUGGUAUAUACACAUAAUGGAAUACUACUCAGCCAUUAAAAGAACAAAAUAAUGCCAUUUGCAGCAACACGGAUGGAACUAGAGACUCUCAUACUAAGUGGAGUAAGUCAGAAAGAGAAAGGCAAAUACCAUAUGAUAAAACUUGUUACUUCUUUAAUUUAUUACCCCAAGCUCAAACCUUAUUUAUAUUCUUCACUAAAUGGGCAACUAAAAUUUAAGUUUUAUUGUCUUGCCAAUUUUUCAGAAUUUUUUUGCUUCUCUGUCUAAAAGUGUAAAAGUUCCCUGUUUGGCCACUUCUUAGGUUUUGUCUCUAUGGACCCUCCAUGUGCAUGAAUUAAAAUUUAUUUCUUUUUCUCUAAUUAAUCUGCCUUGUGUUAAUGUUAUUAUGAGUCCAGCCACAAGAAUUCAAGAGGGAUAGAGAGGGAAAUUUCUCCCCCCUCCAACAUCCCCUUGCAAUCUCUUUAGCAUGAUAAACAGGCUGAUUACACGGUAUGUAAAGGUUCCCAAAGUGACUGUGCUCUUAAAAGGUAGACCUGGGGCUCGUACAGCAUCACUUUUGUACAUUUUAUUGCUUAACCUAAGUCAAAGGUUGGUUCAGAUUCAUUGUGGUGGGAGAGGACUACACAAGGAUGUGACUUCUGGGAAAUAUAGCCUCUUGUGAGCCAUCUUUGGAAGUUACCUGUCAUGUUCUCUAGGUGAUUCUUUUAAAAUAGAAAUCAUAUCAUAUAACUCUGCUCACGAUGCUCCAAAAUUUUUCCAUCACACUCAAAAUGGAUUUCAAAGUCCUUCAUAUGACCUACCAGAUCCUGCAUGAUCCUGUUCCUGGGUACCUUUCUAUGUUAUUUACUGUCACUCUCUGGAAAUGCCAAACAAGUGUACCGGUAUUCUAAAUUAUCUGGAAAAUUGGUCCUUAUGUCCUAAUUCAUCUUACAUGUAUAGUCUCCAAUGGGCUUUAGGAAAUGCACAUCUGAACAAAUUCACAGGUGCAAGUGGAUAAAAAAUAAGCAUUGUCCUACAGAACCAAGAGAGUCAAAAAUAUCAUUUCUAUUACCUUCUAGGGUUUUGUUGCCUGUAAAGGCCACCACAUUUAUCACACCUCCUGAACAUUGCAUUAACAGGCAGAGCGGGAAUUCUUUUUCUAGUUUUCAAUUUAAGAACCUACAGUAACUUAGAGAGAUGUACUAUGUGGUGGAGCCAGACCAUAUAUUCAACUUCUCUAAUUACUUGCUCAGUGUUCCGGCUACUUUCUCCUAAUAAAAGACCAAAAAGAAGAAGUUCUGAGUAUCAUACUCUCACAAAAGAAUAGAUAAACUACAUCAAUUUAUGCUUGUAGUAUGCAGUCAUAUCUCCUCAAUUCAGUUACUGGAUAAAAAUUAUAUUGCAAGGUGUUCCUUGGCAUUUUAUUUUCUUUAUUGUAGACAAAUAAAGACACGUGUUCAGAGACACAUGAAUGCAAAUUAUACUUUUCACAGAGCUACUCUUUUUAACGUGAGCCAGAGGGAGCGGAUGUUCUCCUUAUCCUGGUAUUCAUUCAUUUAUCCACACAAUCACUCUUUCCUUCAUUUGCUUGUUCAACUAUAUCUUUAAAGGCUCGGCAGCCCCUGUUUAUGCAAUGCUUUUGUAACUGGUGCCAACACUGCCAAAUAAAUAAAAGAUGGGCUCUCGCUGAAAUAAGUUUGAGGCCCAGCCAAUGAGAAAGAAAGACAUAGCAAUGCAAGAACAAAGCAAGAAAUUUAGCCACAAUGCAAAAAUAACAACAGUAAAUGUGGGUGUGUGAA
Molecule: long non-coding RNA, 3516 nt
Filed under: Sus scrofa (pig)
Lineage: Eukaryota; Metazoa; Chordata; Mammalia; Artiodactyla; Suidae
Description: lncRNA (ENSSSCG00015081150.1)
Source: RNAcentral